RNAcentral lists this long non-coding RNA (6590 nucleotides) under Homo sapiens (human). Its description in RNAcentral is "non-protein coding lnc-PAPD7-2:9". The record is from RNAcentral. Lineage: Eukaryota; Metazoa; Chordata; Mammalia; Primates; Hominidae.
ACCCUGCCAGCCUCCCUGCUGCAGCCGGCAGCACGUCACUCCAUGCGGGAGGGGAGCCCCACCUAAGGGUACCGAGUGAGACCCAGCUGACCUGGAAAAUGACAGGGACACUUUUUAUCCUUCCAACUUAACCUUUCCGUCCUGACUUAACCUUUCCCUCUUUGACACAAAUGAAGAAAUUAGGGCUCUUGACUGCUACUGAUUUAAGGGGAUUACAGAGGCACUGCCAGCGAGCAUGAGCACAAGAGUUUAGCGCCUCUCGGCAGCUGAGAGAGGAUGCUGCAUACUUGGGGCCUGGGACCUCCGAGAAGACCUUCUUCAGCCGAAAGCACACCUUAUUCUUGUCCCAGUUGAAGGCUUCCCAACGGUCUUCAUGUGGCACUUGCUGUGUGCCAGGCCCCACUCUGGGCACUUGGUUUAUUUAAUUCUAACCAUGGUCCUAGGUGAUGGGCGCUGGUAUGACUGUGGGAAAGGGACAAGGUGGGAGAUGUGAACGAACUUCCGGAGCCCUCCCUCGGGCAGCCUAGCUCCCCGCCUCCUCCAACACCUUCUGUUGCUUUUCCAGCACAGCCAGUACUGGGCUCUUGGGUUCGAGCACGGGGCGGGGUGAAGGGUGCUGGGAGGUCACAUUCUUGCUUCCCAGCACUGAAGACUGGAAGAAUGAAUGGCACAGAUGAACAAGGCCGUCCUGCAUCCGCCGCUCACUAGAGGCUUCACAGCUGCGUAGGGACACAGGACAUCUGUACAAUAAAUACCAAUGGUAUUAGUGCCCUAGGGCUGCAGGAACAAAGCACCACAGACUGGGGGUGCUGGAACAGCAGAAACUCAGGCUCUCCCAUUUCUGGAUGCCGGAAGUCCAAAAUCUAGUGUCGGCAGGGCUGUGUCCUCUCUGAGGUUUCCAGGGGAGGAGGCUUCCUUGCUUCUCUGGCUUCUGGUGGUGGCUGGCAAUGCUCGGCAUUCCUUGGCUUAUGGACGCAGCACUGAAAUUGCAGCCCUUAUCUUCAUGUGGCCUUCCUUGUGGCGCUCUGUGUCCAAAUGUCCCUCUCCUCUAAGGACACCAGUCAUCGGAUUAGGCCAGCUCUAAUCCGGUGUGCCUCAUCUUGAUUUAACUAACUACAUCUGCAAAGACACUAUUUCCAGAUUACGUCACGUUCCGAGGUUCCUGGUGGACGUGAAUUUUUGGAAGACGCUGUCCAACCUGGGACACCAGCCAGCCCCUCUCUGGCUCCCUCAGUCCCUCCACCCUUCGGAAGUGGUAAAUGGUGGCUUGCUAACAGCGCCUGUAGCAGCCACCUCCUGGUGAUGGCAAAGGAAGGGCCCUCUCAGUCAUAGGGGCCAAUGGCGAGGAGGACCUGGGACGUGGUGCACUGAGCAUUUUCCCUUCUCAGCAGCUCACUCCUUUGUGUGUCUGUGAUGCGAAGGCUGUGACAUCAGUCAGCCUCAUGGAGAACUGGAACAACGGGCUCUGUGUCUUUGGAGAACGCGUCAAGACCAGGGCCUCUUCCCCUGCUCCCAUGGUUCCCAGCGUUCUUGUCUCCUGAGAGAGGAUGUAGUGGGUGUCAUGUUCAGCAUCGCAACUGGCCUCCGUGGAAACCAGGGUGGAGCUCAGACGGGUGUGGGGGGAGCAUGUGACUGAGCUCCUUCCCACUCUCUCUCCGGCACACACGGAGUCAGUGUAGGGAGGUGAUGGGUAAGGGCUUGAGUUUUGGGGUUGCACAGCUUGUGGGGACCCCACCUCAUUUCCUAGCUAGGCAGACCUGGCCCAGUGUCUGACCUUUCCCAUCUGUAAAUUAGGGGUGCAAAUAGCAUCCACCUCCGGGGUGUGGUGAAGGUGGAGCCAGUACCCAGCCAGUCCAGCUCUUUUUUGUUAGGAUUGCCCCACUGCGGCCACACCCUUCCAUCUGCCCGCUCCUGUUCCCGCAGGUAGACUCAGCCUGUGGGAUUCUGGCCUGGCUUCCCGGCAGCAAGCAGGAGCUUCAGAUGCUCAUUCCCGCCGCGGUCGGCUGUGGCGGCGACUCAUACCCGUUUCCGCUCGAAUGAUGCCAGCUGUCCUGCUGCGCCACCUUCCUCUGUCCUCGCAUCCGCUGAUGGGAUUUCCGGUCGCUUCCACUUUGUGGCUCUUUUGAAGAAUGCCGCUAGGAACAUUCACACGCAGGUUUUUGGUGUGGACGUUCUUGGCCAUAAAAUAUGGCUUUUGGAAAAAUAAAGCUGAGACUUGGAGUUCACGGUGGGGGCUCCCCCAUCUGUGAACAGAAGCAGAAGUUUGGAACUGCCUUCUUUACUGCUCGAGAGGGAAAACUUGAGUGAAAACCAGGAUGCUGGCGAAUGUUGAGUAGCUAAGCUGCACAGGAAAUACCACUUGAUGACCUGCGAUCUGGGGAAGCCGCGCCAGGGCUCUGCGAAGCUGCGGACGAGGGAGGCGUCAGUGUGGGGGCUGCAGCUCAGCUCCGGGGGGGACGCGCCUUUCUCCACGGGACCUGGGGCUCAGGUGCUCACGAGGCUGGGGCGCUGCAGGCCACCCGCAGGGGAAACUGAGGCCCUCCAUUUUGUGGGGCUGGAAGACCUUUCCUUCCAAAAGCAGGUGUAGGCGGGAGCACCUGUGCAGUCCCUCUGUUCAGAUCCUCACCCACUUUUAAAUCAGGAAACAGCAGAUGAAAUGCACAGUGUGAAGGACAAGGAUUCUGCUGAGAGAAUUGCUCCGAGGGUUGCUCAAGUGAUCAUGGGAAAUAAUGCAUCAAACCAUUCUUUAGAUGCAGCUCAGGUGUGCCUUUUCUUCGCCUGUGCCCAUCCACCUGAGAUGGACCAUAACCAUAAAAGUCAGAAGGCACUGACCCUUCAGGACGUGACAGGGUUAAAAGAUGCUGGAGGGAAAGUCUGUCAUUGACUUUUAUUCACUUCCUUUCUCCAUUCUGCCAUUUGGAAGAAGGCUGGAGUGCAAUGGCGCGAUCUCGGCUCACUGCAACUUCCGCCUCCCAGGUUCAAGUGAAUCUCCUGCCUCAGCCUUCCGAGUAGCUGGGACUACAGGCACGUGCCACCAUGCCCAGCUAAUUUUUGUAUUUUUAGUAGAGAUGGGGUUUCACCAUGUUGGCCAGGAUGGUCUUGAUCUCUUGACCUCAUGAUCUGCCCGCCUCAGCCUCCUAGAGUGCUGAGAUUACAGGCGUGAGCCCCCGUGCCUGGCCUUGAAUGGGAUUAGUGUUUUAAAGAGGCCUGAGAGAGACUCCUGGCCACUUUUGCCUUAUGAGGACACAGUGGAAAGGUCCCAUCCCUGAACCAGGAAAUGGGCACUUACCAGACACUGAAUCUGCCUGCAGCUUGACCUUGAACUUCCCAGCCUCCAGAACUCUGAGGAAUAAAUUUCUGUUAUGUGAUAAGCCAUUCAGUCUGUGGUAUUUUGUUAUACCAGCCCAAACGGACUAAGACACAGAACAUAGCCUGUGCCUCUUCCAGUUUCUUCAGGAUCCUUCUGGGCUCAGAGAAUGGAGCUAAGAGGAAGAUUCUACCAUUAGGGCUGGUCUUCACCUGUCUCUUAAGACUGAUGGGCUCCCCAUUUGAAUGACAUUGAUCAACCCGACAUUAACCCAUUGGGUAUGGCUGGGGCAGCUCCUCUUAUCUGUGAGGUGGGAACCAGGUUGGUAAUGUUGCAUCCUGUUAGCCAGGUUCCUAGUUCAGUUUAGCUGUUGUGCAGGUCAAGGACUCUUAAGGAUUGAAUUGCAUCCCUUCAAAAGAUAUUGAAGUCCUAACCCCCAGAAUCGGUGACUGUGACCUUAUUUGGAAAUGGGUCUUUGCAGACACAAUCAAGUUAAGAUGAGGUCAUAUUGGAUUAAAGUGGUGUGUAAUUCAAUAGAUGAUCUCUUUAAUGAAAAGGGAAAUUUGUACUGAGAAACACAGAGGGAAAUGCUAUGUGAAGAUGGAGGCAGAGAUUGGAGUGAUUUGGAGCAAUGUGUAUGUCUGCAAGCCAAGGAACACCAAGUAUUGCCAGCCAUCACCAGAGCUGGAGGAGGGGCCUGGAACAGAUUCCCACUAGAGCCCCCAAAAGGAUCCAACCCUGCUGACACUUUGACUUUGGAGUUGUGGCCUUCAGAACUGUGAGAGAAUUAAUUUGUGUUGUUUUGAGCCACUCAGAGUGUGGUAUUUUGUUAUAGAAGUCCUUGGAUACUAAUAAAGACAUUAAUAGCCAGAUCGGAGGCACCCCCUCCAAGGCCUGAGAGAAGGUUGUUUUAUGGAACCCUGGUUUAGUAGCUGGGACCACAGAUGCGUGCCACCAUGCCUGGCUAUUUUUUUAAAUUUUUUGUACAGAUGGCAUCUUGCUGUGUUGCCCAGGAUUCUGGCUAGGGACUGUGGUUGCAGGUGCUGGGGCUAAUGAAAAUGGGCAAGAGCAGAAUAGCACAGUAACAUCUAUUCUCUAAAUCGACAAUCUUUUCCAGACUACGGUUUAAGAAUCUGUGCCCGAUGAAGCUGAAGGGGGCCUCAGAACUGGUCUCGUGGUCCUCCUCUCAGCUCUGAGGUACUUGUGGCUUGUGGCAGAGCCGCUAUGGACGUCGCUGACCUAGUGGUCAGUGCAUACAUCUGCAGAAAGGUCACUCUACAUUCAAGUGAACCAAUAGAGUGUCUAGAAAUCUCAAUUCAUGGUGUGUGGGGGCAAGAUGCCCAUUCUGACCCUUUAAGGGGGCAUCAACAUUUCAGAGGGUGGUAGGAGUGGUGAUGAGUCCUCCUUAGGGUGAAAGUUCACCCCUUUGGGCUACUAGAGGGCAGUCAUUGGUAUAAUUUCUCUAUUUUAAGCAUUCUGAUGUUUGAUUACAACUUACCCAUGGAAGGCUGAGUUUGUAGUUACUGAACCUUUCCAAGGCUGGGUAGCGUGCCUUCUCUCCCGAAUGCUAUGGAGUUCUACAGUGUGCCAGCAUCUGUUUCUGUAGCUCCUUCUUUCAUCACUGAUGGACGUUUAGAUUGUUUCCAGUUUCUACUACCACAAACAGUGCUUCAGUGACCAUCCUUAGCUGUGGCUUCUUGUGUAUGUGUGAGGAUUUCUUCAGAAUCAGGUCUCCACCUUGGACACUGUCCAUAUAUUGGGCCAGAUAAUUAUUUAGUGUUGGGGGUGCUGUCCUGUGCACUGUAGAACGCUUAGCAGCACUUAGCAGCAUCCCUGGCCUCCACCCACUAGGUGUCAGUAGUGUGCACUACUUAUCACCACCAAAAAUGUCCCCACAUGGUGUCAAAUAUCCACUGGGGGAAACAUUGGCCUUCCCGCCUGUUCAGAACCAUUGGGAUAGAUGAAAAAUGUGAGGCGGUGUUUUUUUUGUUGUUGUUUUUUGUUUUGUUUCGUUUUGUUUUAAGACAGGGUCUCGUUCUGUCAUCUAGACUGGAUCACAGUGGCAUGAUCACAGCUCACUGCAGCCUCAACCUCCUGGGCUCAAGUGAUCUGCCCACUUCAGCCUCCCCAGUAGCUGGGACCACAGGCGUAUGCCACCAUGCCCGGCUAUUCUUUUUUUAUUUUUUAUAGAAUGGCAUCUUUGCUAUGUUGCCCAGGCUGGUCUCAAACUCCUGGCCUCAAACAAUCCUCCUGCCUCAGCCUCCCAAAGUGCUGCGAUUACAGGCAUGAGCCACUGUGCCUGGCCAAGAGUGAGAUUUAUGAAUCAAAAGGUGCUAUGAUUUGAAUAUUCAUCCUCUCCCAAAUUCCUGUUGAAAUUUAGUUUCCACAAUGGCAGUAUUAAGAGGUGGGACCUUUAAGAGAUGAUUGGAAUAAUUCAUUCAUGGAUUAAUGGAUUAAUGAACUAAUAGAUUAUCAUGGAGUUAUAAGAAGAAGAGAACUUGAGCUUGUACUCCCAGCCCCUCGCCAUGUGGUCUCCUGGGCCAACUCAGGACUCUGCAGAGAGUUCUCCAUCAGCAAGAAAGCUCCUCACCAGAUGUGGCCCCUUGACCUUGAAUUCUUCAGCCUUCAUAACUGCAAGAAAUAAAUUUAUUUUCUUAUAAAUAGCCCAGUUUCAGGUAUUCUGUCAUAAGUAACAGAAAAGGGACUAAGACAAAGGGAAUGCAUGUUGAGUGUAAUACACAUGCUGAACAGUCAUACAGGGGCUGGGCACAUUCCACACUCCUGGAGGCAAUGUCUAAUAGACAUUCGACACCAUCACCAUACUUACAAGCCAUGCUGAUGGCUGAGACAGGGCGAAUCAUUUAGUUUUGGGUUUGAUUUUCUUAAUUAUUACCUAAACGUCUUCUCAUGUUUAUUAGUCAUUAGAAUUUCAUUUAUUAUGAGUUACCUAUUCAGUGUCUUUGUCUGUUUGUCUAUUCUUCUUCUUAUUGAUGUUCAGAGAAAAUAUCCAAAAUAUUUGACAACCAUGAGGGCACUGGAUCUUCAAAUGUCCAAACACCUGCCCCCAUAGGAUGGACACCAGCUGUUUACACCAACACAGGAGUCCUGGGUGCGGUGAAAGAACAUCUGCCAUGUGGAUUUGUUGCUGUUCUUAAUUUACUAUGGAAAUUAGCCUCUUGCCUGUGAUAGAAAUCACACGUAUUAUCUCUGAGUAGUCCCAUGUCUUAAAGCUUUGUUUGUUAUUUAAAUUUCAAAGUAGACAAAUUGAGAUGUCUUCUCUUCC